RNAcentral lists this ribosomal RNA (350 nucleotides) under uncultured bacterium. RNAcentral's name for it is "bacterial SSU rRNA". It matches the Rfam family "Bacterial small subunit ribosomal RNA", at positions 355 to 722 of the family's 1533-position model. The record is from RNAcentral.
UAAGGAAUCUUGCACAAUGGGGGAAACCCUGAUGCAGCGAUGCCGCGUGAGUGAAGAAGGCCCUUGGGUUGUAAAACUCUUUCGUCGGGGAAGAAAAUGACUGUACCCGAAUAAGAAGGUCCGGCUAACUUCGUGCCAGCAGCCGCGGUAAUACGAAGGGACCUAGCGUAGUUCGGAAUUACUGGGCUUAAAGAGCUCGUAGGUGGUUAAAAAGUUGAUUGUGAAAUCCCAAGGCUCAACCUUGGAACUGCAAUCAAAACUUUUUAGCUAGAGUGUGACAGGGGAAAGUGGAAUUUCUAGUGUAGAGGUGAAAUUCGUAGAUAUUAGAAAGAACACCAAAAAGCGAAGGC